Molecule: long non-coding RNA, 327 nt
Organism: Pieris brassicae (large cabbage white)
Lineage: Eukaryota; Metazoa; Arthropoda; Insecta; Lepidoptera; Pieridae
Exons: 2
Source: RefSeq, a predicted model, not a curated record
UCACGCUUAUAUUUUGUUAAUUGUGCCAUUCCGAUGUGUUGCCAUAACAAAUUGAUGAGAAAAUACUUAUUUAUUGAGAACCAAAUAGUUAAUUUUUCUUGACGUGUUUUUGGUGUGAUUUCACAUUUCAGUGUCUUGAAUCUCCAUUACUGGAGGUUGGCCCUCAGUCUCUUGAAGCGUGUCAUGUCCUGUGCCAGAUGCAGCAAUGUCGCAGUCGCAAAAGCCGUCCAGUCCCUAAUGUUGCAAAGCCAUGAUUAAAUGAUUAAACGUAAUUUGUAUAGCAAAUUCAAUUAUAAUACGCGUGUAAAUAAAUAAUAUGUAAAUUAA